CCUACGGGUGGCAGCAGUGAGGAAUAUUGGUCAAUGGACGCAAGUCUGAACCAGCCAUGCCGCGUGCAGGAAGACGGCUCUAUGAGUUGUAAACUGCUUUUGUACGAGGGUAAAUCCCGGUACGUGAGUCGGGUUGAAUGUGUCCUACGAGUAAAGAUAGGCUAACUCCGUGCCAGAAGCCGCGGUAAUACGGAGGAUCCCAGCGUUAUCCGGAUUUAUUGGGUUUAAGGGGUGCGUAGGCGGUUCUAUAAGUUAGAGGUGAAAUCCCGGGGCUCAACUCCGGAACUGCCGUUGAUACUGUCGGGCUAGAGUGUAGUUGCGGUAGGCGGAAUGUAUGGUGUAGCGGUGAAAUGCAUAGAGAUCAUACAGAACACCGAUUGCGAAGGCAGCUUACCAAACUACGACUGACGUUGAGGCACGAAAGCGUGGGGAGCAAACAGGAUUAGAUACCCUAGUAGUC
Molecule: ribosomal RNA, 460 nt
Filed under: uncultured bacterium
Lineage: Bacteria
Description: partial 16S ribosomal RNA
Rfam family: Bacterial small subunit ribosomal RNA
Source: RNAcentral